ACGAACGCUGGCGGCGUGCUUAACACAUGCAAGUCGAACGGAAAGGCCCUGCUUUUGUGGGGUGCUCGAGUGGCGAACGGGUGAGUAACACGUGAGUAACCUGCCCUUGACUUUGGGAUAACUUCAGGAAACUGGGGCUAAUACCGGAUAGGAGCUCCUGCUGCCUGGUGGGGGUUGGAAAGUUUCGGCGGUUGGGGAUGGACUCGCGGCUUAUCAGCUUGUUGGUGGGGUAGUGGCUUACCAAGGCUUUGACGGGUAGCCGGCCUGAGAGGGUGACCGGCCACAUUGGGACUGAGAUACGGCCCAGACGCCUACGGGAGGCAGCAGUGGGGAAUAUUGCACAAUGGGCGGAAGCCUGAUGCAGCAACGCCGCGUGCGGGAUGACGGCCUUCGGGUUGUAAACCGCUUUCGCCUGUGACGAAGCGUGAGUGACGGUAAUGGGUAAAGAAGCACCGGCUAACUACGUG
This 467-nucleotide ribosomal RNA is filed under the name uncultured bacterium. RNAcentral describes it as "partial 16S ribosomal RNA". It matches the Rfam family "Bacterial small subunit ribosomal RNA", at positions 29 to 507 of the family's 1533-position model. The record is from RNAcentral.